UUUAAACUAUUCUUUG
Molecule: transfer RNA, 16 nt
Filed under: Xiphophorus maculatus (southern platyfish)
Lineage: Eukaryota; Metazoa; Chordata; Actinopteri; Cyprinodontiformes; Poeciliidae
Also listed under: 18 other names
Description: partial tRNA
Source: RNAcentral